GCAACUCGACUGCACGAAGCUGGAAUCGCUAGUAAUCGCGGAUCAGCACGCCGCGGUGAAUACGUUCCCGGGCCUUGUACACACCGCCCGUCACACCAUGGAAGUCUGCAAUGCCCGAAGCCGGUGGCCUAACCACUUAUGUGGAAGGAGCCGUCUAAGGCAGGGCAGAUGACUGGGGUGAAGUCGUAACAAGGUAAC
This 198-nucleotide ribosomal RNA is filed under the name uncultured bacterium. RNAcentral's name for it is "partial 16S ribosomal RNA". It matches the Rfam family "Bacterial small subunit ribosomal RNA", at positions 1307 to 1500 of the family's 1533-position model. The record is from RNAcentral.